This 497-nucleotide ribosomal RNA is filed under the name uncultured bacterium. Its description in RNAcentral is "partial 16S ribosomal RNA". It matches the Rfam family "Bacterial small subunit ribosomal RNA", at positions 28 to 507 of the family's 1533-position model. The record is from RNAcentral.
GAUGAACGCUGGCGGCGUGCCUAAUACAUGCAAGUCGAGCGAACGGACGAGAAGCUCGCUUUUCUGAUGUUAGCGGCGGACGGGUGAGUAACACGUGGAUAACCUACCUAUAAGACUGGGAUAACUUCGGGAAACCGGAGCUAAUACCGGAUAAUAUUUUGAACCGCAUGGUUCAAAAGUGAAAGACGGUCUUGCUGUCACUUAUAGAUGGAUCCGCGCUGCAUUAGCUAGUUGGUAAGGUAACGGCUUACCAAGGCAACGAUGCAUAGCCGACCUGAGAGGGUGAUCGGCCACACUGGAACUGAGACACGGUCCAGACUCCUACGGGAGGCAGCAGUAGGGAAUCUUCCGCAAUGGGCGAAAGCCUGACGGAGCAACGCCGCGUGAGUGAUGAAGGUCUUCGGAUCGUAAAACUCUGUUAUUAGGGAAGAACAUAUGUGUAAGUAACUGUGCACAUCUUGACGGUACCUAAUCAGAAAGCCACGGCUAACUGCGUG